UACGUAGGGUGCAAGCGUUAAUCGGAAUUACUGGGCGUAAAGCGUGCGCAGGCGGUUUUGUAAGUCUGACGUGAAAUCCCCGGGCUCAACCUGGGAAUUGCGUUGGAGACUGCAAGGCUAGAAUCUGGCAGAGGGGGGUAGAAUUCCACGUGUAGCAGUGAAAUGCGUAGAGAUGUGGAGGAACACCGAUGGCGAAGGCAGCUCCCUGGGUUAAGAUUGACGCUCAUGCACGAAAGCGUGGGGAGCAAACAGG
Molecule: ribosomal RNA, 253 nt
Filed under: uncultured bacterium
Lineage: Bacteria
Description: partial 16S ribosomal RNA
Rfam family: Bacterial small subunit ribosomal RNA
Source: RNAcentral